CAUAGCACUUUCAGUACAAGGAAGAUAACUUAAAGCAUAUUAUACCUGUGAUACUUUAAAAGUUUAUAUAGAUUUAAAGUUAUAUAAGUUAAAUUUUUGUAGAAAGUUCAUUAUUUAUUUAUUUAUUUAUUUUCUUUUGUUACAUAAGUCCAUUGCAGAGAAUGAUACUUGCUAGAGUCAACAAAUAUCCGUUAAGAUUGUCACAGAAUAUGCACCUGUUUGGAUCGGCCAUUAAUAAAUCUGAUAAAAUGUUUCCAAUGGCAAUGUUAUUGGCUUCCACGGGAUUGUUGCUCUCCAUGUUCAGUGUACACCAGAUGGAUUGUUCUAUUCAACCUAAGAAAAGAUGGUUCGACAAAUUCAGACCAACUUAAUGUGUAAAUAUUUGUACAAGCAACAUCAUUUAUUUAGACUAGUGCAUAAAGACUUUGAACUAGGAUUGACAUGUUGGGUUUGACAUGUUGAAACCUUUCAUUGUCUCUCUCAAUUAAUCCAUCAUCCUGCUUAAACCAAGCUGCUCAAUGGUGUAUUGUUGGAUUUAGCAAUCUCUUCUGCAAUUUUUGUGUGUGUCUUUUAGGUUUUUUAUUUAAUUAUUAUGUAUUUUGUUCUUUAAAAGUUGCAUGUACAGGUUAAAAGUUUUGAACCAAAAUUUUCAUGUUGUACAGAUAUAUAAAAAUAAAUAGUUGUUCAAUGAUCA
This is a long non-coding RNA of Centruroides sculpturatus (bark scorpion), 694 nucleotides long. RefSeq lists it as uncharacterized. The transcript is spliced from 3 exons. The record is from RefSeq and is a predicted model, not a curated record. Lineage: Eukaryota; Metazoa; Arthropoda; Arachnida; Scorpiones; Buthidae.